Molecule: long non-coding RNA, 786 nt
Filed under: Scleropages formosus (Asian bonytongue)
Lineage: Eukaryota; Metazoa; Chordata; Actinopteri; Osteoglossiformes; Osteoglossidae
Description: lncRNA (ENSSFOG00015028760.1)
Source: RNAcentral
GAAAUCCAACUGGAAUUUGAUUGGAAUCAUUUAUCGGUUUACCUUAAUCACAACAAAUGGGUUUAAUUUUGAAUUAUGUUGAAAGUGACAUAAUUCAUUUCCCCCCCAACACACAGAUACCGCCAGUCGUCUACAUGUACCCAACGGGUGGUCUGUCUACAGGGUUGAGUUCAGAAGAGUUAGCUGGGAAGCCAGCCAGCGUCAUGCCCAGGUUUGGAGUCUACAUGCCUGAUUUCGGUGGAAAUGUGCCAGCCUUCCCAAAAGCAUCCACUACCAACCAGGCGGUACAUCCCAGUGUGGUUGCCAUACCAGAUCAGGUUGGAGGGCUUCCAGUACCUGGUGUUCCAGCUCUGGGUGUGGAGGCUGCUCCAUCCAGCCCCGUGCAGCUGGCUGUGGGUCCAGAUGUUCUGAAGCAACCCUCACACCAGAAGAAUCCUCAGGAUCUGUACGCAUGGACCACAGCCAUGCCCAGGGAUCCAGUCCCCAACGUGUCACCUUCCCCCAGCACCGCAGCGACAAAGAGCCAAUCUGUCAUCUAUCCAUAACUGUACAUUUCACGUAUUCAUGCCUAUAAACUACAUUCUAUCUUCUAGAUAAUCAUAUAGAUGCAAAUGCUUUAAGAACUAAAACAAAAUGGUGCAGUAUGAAUUUGGUUCUGCUUGCAGUGGUCGAUUAAGGAAACGUCACUAAUUUUUCAAGGCAUCCUUCCAUACAUAACAAUGCAAUAAUUUUUAAUUCAAUAACUAUUGCAAUAAAUAUACUAUGAACUGUAAGUAUAUGCUGGUG